AGGUGAGGGCCAUCUUGCUGUGACAUUUGUCACCCCAUUGGGCACCAGGGUUGUUUUGGUUGAUCUGGCUGGCUAGGUGGUGGAACUUCCCCACCUAGAGCUAGCUGUACCUCCCCCAAAGGCUAUGUGCUCAGGUAGAAGAGGACAGCCUUAUCUGAGGAGGAAGACUCCAGUCAAGGGUGUUCAGUAGCUUCACUCUCCUGCUAGAACCUCCAAACAAGCUCUCACGAAACAGAAUGCCUGUAAUUCAAAACCUACGAAAGGACAGAGACUCCCAGGGUUGAUUGUACAAUGUACAACACUGCCUCU
This 309-nucleotide small nuclear RNA is filed under the name Mus pahari (shrew mouse). Its description in RNAcentral is "sRNA (MGP_PahariEiJ_G0008093.1)". It matches the Rfam family "7SK RNA". Rfam says of the family: 7SK was discovered as an abundant small nuclear RNA in the mid-70s but a possible function has only recently been suggested. Lineage: Eukaryota; Metazoa; Chordata; Mammalia; Rodentia; Muridae. The record is from RNAcentral.